GGCAGACGGGUGAGUGACAUGUAGGUAUCUACCCUUUGGUGAGGAAUAACACGAGGAAACUUGUGCUAAUACCUCAUAAGUCUUUACGGAGAAAGCUUUAUGCGCCGAAGGAUGAGCCUGCACUUGAUUAGUUUGUUGGUGGGGUAAUGGCCUACCAAGACCUUGAUCUAUAGCUGAUCUGAGAGGAUGAUCAGCCACAUUGGGACUGAGACACGGCCCAAACUCCUACGGGAGGCAGCAGUAGGGAAUAUUGCACAAUGGAGGAAACUCUGAUGCAGCGAUGCCGCGUGAGUGAAGAAGGCCUUUGGGUUGUAAAGCUCUUUCGUCGGGGAAGAAAAUGACUGUACCCGAAUAAGAAGGUCCGGCUAACUUCGUGCCAGCAGCCGCGGUAAUACGAAGGGACCUAGCGUAGUUCGGAAUUACUGGGCUUAAAGAGUUCGUAGGUGGUUAAAAAAGUUGGUGGUGAAAUCCCAGAGCUUAACUCUGGAACUGCCAUCAAAACUUUUUAGCUAGAGUAUGAUAGAGGAAAGCAGAAUUUCUAGUGUAGAGGUGAAAUUCGUAGAUAUUAGAAAGAAUACCAAUUGCGAAGGCAGCUUUCUGGAUCAUUACUGACGCUGAGGAACGAAAGCAUGGGUAGCGAAGAGGAUUAGAUACCCUCGUAGUCCAUGCCGUAAACGAUGUGUGUUAGACGUUGGAAAUUUAUUUUCAGUGUCGCAGCGAAAGCGUUAAACACAC
Molecule: ribosomal RNA, 735 nt
Filed under: uncultured marine bacterium
Lineage: Bacteria
Description: bacterial SSU rRNA
Rfam family: Bacterial small subunit ribosomal RNA
Source: RNAcentral